Molecule: non-coding RNA, 101 nt
Filed under: uncultured eukaryote
Lineage: Eukaryota
Source: RNAcentral
GCUAACGUCGCUGCUGCAGCCCGCCCCUGAGGUAUUCUUCACCUUCCACAACCUGAUCCUGAUGAGCGAGGGCAAGAUCUUCUACCACGGGCCCACCACCA